UACGUAGGGGGCAAGCGUUGUCCGGAUUUAUUGGGCGUAAAGAGCGUGUAGGCGGCUAGGUAGGUCCGUUGUGAAAACUCGAGGCUCAACCUCGAGACGUCGAUGGAAACCAUCUAGCUAGAGUCCGGAAGAGGAGAGUGGAAUUCCUGGUGUAGCGGUGAAAUGCGCAGAUAUCAGGAGGAACACCAAUGGCGAAGGCAGCACUCUGGGACGUGACUGACGCUGAGACGCGAAAGCGUGGGGAGCAAACAGG
Molecule: ribosomal RNA, 253 nt
Filed under: uncultured bacterium
Lineage: Bacteria
Description: partial 16S ribosomal RNA
Rfam family: Bacterial small subunit ribosomal RNA
Source: RNAcentral